Molecule: unclassified non-coding RNA, 325 nt
Filed under: Hevea brasiliensis (rubber tree)
Lineage: Eukaryota; Viridiplantae; Streptophyta; Magnoliopsida; Malpighiales; Euphorbiaceae
Source: RNAcentral
GAAACACUAUCAGCCAAAGAUUAUAAUGGCAGAGAAGCAUGACAAAUAGCUAAAAAGCAAAAAUGCUAACUAGCAGCAGUUAUUCUUAAAUAGCAUUAUAGCAUAAUUGCGGAUCAAAAUAGAGCAGAGGUGUACUUCAUUGUUCCAUUGAAAUCAAAGUUAUAACAUGGGAACUGGGAUUGCAUCAUGCAAAACCUAUGUUGUCACAAAACUUUGAAAAGCCAAUGAUCACACUUUUUGUCUAUGAUAAGAAAAGCCAGCCUAGAGCACACAAUGGGAUUUUUACUUGUAAACCCCAUGGAACUUAGGCACCCCUUCUAUUCCA